RNAcentral lists this ribosomal RNA (136 nucleotides) under Nectriaceae sp. RNAcentral describes it as "partial large subunit ribosomal RNA". The record is from RNAcentral. Lineage: Eukaryota; Fungi; Ascomycota; Sordariomycetes; Hypocreales; Nectriaceae.
AGGCCAGCAUCAGUUUGCUUCGGGGGAUAAAGGCUUUGGGAAUGUGGCUCCCUCGGGAGUGUUAUAGCCCAUUGUGUAAUACCCUGGAGCGGACUGAGGUACGCGUUCUGCAAGGAUGCUGGCGUAAUGGUCAUCA